This 192-nucleotide ribosomal RNA is filed under the name Triticum aestivum (bread wheat). RNAcentral describes it as "partial small subunit ribosomal RNA". The record is from RNAcentral. Lineage: Eukaryota; Viridiplantae; Streptophyta; Magnoliopsida; Poales; Poaceae.
AUGCACAUCGGUGGGUCAAUCCUCAUGAUGGACAAUAUUGCAGACGGGACACUCCAGAUACCAUCACCGCAGAUCAAACCAGAAGCAACCGCACCCGCAAACUCCUCUGCCUCCUUACGGUUCACCCUCUCCCAUACAAACAAGAUGACAGUUCCGAUAAACAUGUCAAUCGCGAAGUAUGCCCCAAUGUAA